This 401-nucleotide ribosomal RNA is filed under the name uncultured bacterium. RNAcentral's name for it is "bacterial SSU rRNA". It matches the Rfam family "Bacterial small subunit ribosomal RNA", at positions 355 to 773 of the family's 1533-position model. The record is from RNAcentral.
UGGGGAAUAUUGGGCAAUGGGCGCAAGCCUGACCCAGCCAUGCCGCGUGAGUGAUGAAGGCCUUAGGGUUGUAAAGCUCUUUCGCCGAGGACGAUAAUGACGGUACUCGGAUAAGAAGCCCCGGCUAACUUCGUGCCAGCAGCCGCGGUAAUACGAAGGGGGCUAGCGUUGUUCGGAAUCACUGGGCGUAAAGCGUAUGCAGGCGGAUCGUUAAGUGAGGGGUGAAAUCCCGAGGCUCAACCUCGGAACUGCCUUUCAUACUGACGAUCUUGAGUCCGGGAGAGGUUAGUGGAACUGCGAGUGUAGAGGUGAAAUUCGUAGAUAUUCGCAAGAACACCAGUGGCGAAGGCGGCUAACUGGCCCGGUACUGACGCUGAGAUACGAAAGCGUGGGGAGCAAAC